AACAGGGUAUUGCCUCAGUAACGGCGAGUGAAGCGGCAACAGCUCAAAUUUGAAAUCUGGCUCUUUUAGGGUCCGAGUUGUAAUUUGUAGAAGAUGCUUUGGGUGUGGUGCCGGUCUAAGUUCCUUGGAACAGGGCGUCAUAGAGGGUGAGAAUCCCGUAUGUGACUGGUCGCCUUCGCCUAUGUAAAGCUCUUUCGACGAGUCGAGUUGUUUGGGAAUGCAGCUCUAAAUGGGUGGUAUAUUUCAUCUAAAGCUAAAUAUUGGCCAGAGACCGAUAGCGCACAAGUAGAGUGAUCGAAAGAUGAAAAGCACUUUGGAAAGAGAGUUAAACAGUACGUGAAAUUGUUGAAAGGGAAGCGCUUGCAACCAGACUUGUGUUUAGUUGAUCAUCCGGUGUUCUCACCGGUGCACUCUGCUAUAUUCAGGCCAGCAUCGGUUCUGGUGGUUGGAUAAAGGCCUGUGGAACGUAGCUCCCCUCGGGGAGUGUUAUAGCCUCAGGUGCAAUGCAGCCUACCGGGACCGAGGACCGCGCUUCGGCUAGGAUGCUGGCGUAAUGGUUGUAAGCGACCCGUCUUGAAACACGGACCAAGGAGUCUAACAUCUAUGCGAGUGUUUGGGUGUCAAACCCAUACGCGUAAUGAAAGUGAACGGAGGUGAGAACCCUUAAGGGUGCAUCAUCGACCGAUCCUGAUGUCUUCGGAUGGAUUUGAGUAAGAGCAUAGCUGUUGGGACCCGAAAGAUGGUGAACUAUGCGUGAAUAGGGUAAAGCCAGAGGAAACUCUGGUGGAGGCUCGCAGCGGUUCUGACGUGCAAAUCGAUCGUCAAAUUUGCGCAUAGGGGCGAAAGACUAAUCGAACCAUUGGAACUACUACUUAGGUGGUUAAGAGGUGCCGCGGCACCUAGCCCGCGGGGGCUACACUAUCAAAGUGCGGGGACGUCCUGUUAACUUCCAAACCACCGCAGCCCUCCCGAAAGGGGGGGCGCGCACCAGGGUAAUGACCUCGGGGAUGGUAAAAGCGUUUGGAUGGGGAUGAUUCGCAGCCAAGUCCUACCGGCUCUCGCAGCCCACGGAUGCAGUUCACAGACUAAAUGUUAGUGGGUCUGGGUUUCCCAGGCUUAAGGUAUAGUCGAUCCUCCCCGGAGACGGCGGAGUA
This 1154-nucleotide ribosomal RNA is filed under the name Psilachnum sp. KUS-F52448. Its description in RNAcentral is "eukaryotic LSU rRNA". It matches the Rfam family "Eukaryotic large subunit ribosomal RNA", at positions 67 to 1443 of the family's 3401-position model. Lineage: Eukaryota; Fungi; Ascomycota; Leotiomycetes; Helotiales; Pezizellaceae. The record is from RNAcentral.